This 68-nucleotide transfer RNA is filed under the name Marmota monax (woodchuck). Its description in RNAcentral is "tRNA.Ile". The record is from RNAcentral. Lineage: Eukaryota; Metazoa; Chordata; Mammalia; Rodentia; Sciuridae.
GCUGGGGCUCAGUGGUACAGCGCUUGCCUAAUGUGUGUGAGGCCCUGGGUUUGAGUCUCAGCACCGCA